Molecule: long non-coding RNA, 213 nt
Organism: Balaenoptera ricei (Rice's whale)
Lineage: Eukaryota; Metazoa; Chordata; Mammalia; Artiodactyla; Balaenopteridae
Exons: 3
Source: RefSeq, a predicted model, not a curated record
GGGCGCUUCUAGUAGCGGUGGAAAUUGGGAUUGUGUUUUGAGGUCUUUUUCAGUGCUUGAGAGUUCGCUUUCUGCAGAGGUAUUAUGAUUCCUGAGGGGAGCGUCAGAGAGAUUGAGCUGCCCAGCCUCACCCUAGAACAAGUGUUACUUACCUCUGUGAGGCUGGAUUUUCUUCAGAUACCUCAACCAAAACAACAUAUCAUAACAGACUGA